This is a long non-coding RNA of Daphnia magna, 1382 nucleotides long. RefSeq lists it as uncharacterized. The transcript is spliced from 5 exons. The record is from RefSeq and is a predicted model, not a curated record. NCBI's taxonomy places the organism in Eukaryota, Metazoa, Arthropoda, Branchiopoda, Diplostraca, Daphniidae.
CUAACAAAAUACGAGAUUUAUAGGCAGUAAUUGUGGAAUUAAAAGCCAAGUGAAACAAUCCAUUUUUUUAUCCUUUGACGAUUGUAUUUGACCCAAAAGAACUAAACGGCUCACGGUGUUCAAGAACUUCCCGAUAGCCAAAAGAGUUUUUAAGUACAACUUUAUAUCGUGCCGAGAACGGCGUGAAUGGAGCCCGGAGGGCGAUUCAACGGAGUGGACCUUGGAUUGUAAAAACGUUUGAUCCUCUAACUUUAAAACAAAUUCGAUUCUUUAUCAUAAGCAUACGAAAAGAUUUUACAAUGUCUAUUGAAAAAUCAGGUACUGAAAAAUUCUUUAGCAUGCCAUAUUAAAACACAGAAUAAAACGCUGCAUUUCGUCAAAACGCUCACGCUACCGUCGUCUGCUAUGGCUGUGUAAUAACAUAUUUUUGCUGUGAUAUUUUUGUAAGUUUUCUCAUUAUUUUAUGUGUUUAUAACAAAAGAUUGAAGCCCAUUUUGGAAACCAUGAUGUGCGUCUAUGAUGAAGAUUACGAGUGACAAGUUAAAUGGGUGUUUGUUACGUUUCUCUGUUUUGUGUUUCAAAGGAUUUUUCGUCAAAAAAUUUACGAUUGCUUUUUGUAUGUGGUGGUGUUUCGCCUUGUCAGCUAUGCCAGCUGCUGAACAAACAGCCUGCAUUCCUGCUAUCAAUGUACCACAAGGGAUCCUGACACUUUAAGAAGGCCACUUUUCCCCUCCAGACCUCCCAAGUGUGUCAUUCUGAUGCAGAGCUCUUGAAAUGAAGUUGAACAUUUUGAACCAUCUCAGGCCAAAGCUCAAGGUAUUAGAAAAGUGGUCGCUUUUGAUUAGAGUUUCUUUGCCGUCCGGUGCAUCAAUCGGAAUGAUGUUCACUUCCUCGACGUCAUUCCUCACGUAAUUAAUAACUUUGUGCUUCGAAAAAAGUUGUACUAAUCUUCAAAUUUUAAAAGAAAACUUUGAUGCCUUAUUCUUAUCUCGAGGUUAUAUCGACCUUCAAAGGCAAAUCGGAAGAGGGUAUUCUUUUCCUUGACAUAAAGAACGGAAAUGUUAUGCAUUAACAAGUCAUCCGCAUCCAAACAGAUGAAACGCACGAGGUAUUCCGCUUCGUCCGGCAACUUACUAUCCAGCAACGCAUCCAUCUACGCAUCCAUCAACAAAAUGUAUUAAAGAGAAAAGUAAUGACCAAAUGCCGAUUGGACGAUUUCCAUGCAAGAUGAAUGUUAAAAUCCAACGAGAUCUGGCGAGGAGGAGGCAACGGACUAUGUCAUGUCAAACCAUUAGCUGAAUACAAUGAAUACUAUCAGUUCUCCAUAACGAGAGGUUAAUAAUCAUACUGAAUCAAAAGAGGUACAUACUUGAACGAGAUUU